GCAGUGGUGGUCCAGUGGUAGAAUUCUCAUCUCCCGUGUGGAAGGCCUAGGUUCGAUUCCCAGCCAGUGCA
Molecule: transfer RNA, 71 nt
Filed under: Loxodonta africana (African savanna elephant)
Lineage: Eukaryota; Metazoa; Chordata; Mammalia; Proboscidea; Elephantidae
Rfam family: tRNA
About the family: Transfer RNA (tRNA) molecules are approximately 80 nucleotides in length. Their secondary structure includes four short double-helical elements and three loops (D, anti-codon, and T loops). Further hydrogen bonds mediate the characteristic L-shaped molecular structure. tRNAs have two regions of fundamental functional importance: the anti-codon, which is responsible for specific mRNA codon recognition, and the 3' end, to which the tRNAs corresponding amino acid is attached (by aminoacyl-tRNA synthetases). tRNAs cope with the degeneracy of the genetic code in two manners: having more than one tRNA (with a specific anti-codon) for a particular amino acid; and 'wobble' base-pairing, i.e. permitting non-standard base-pairing at the 3rd anti-codon position.
Source: Rfam by way of RNAcentral